Molecule: RNA transcript, 4112 nt
Organism: Capra hircus (goat)
Lineage: Eukaryota; Metazoa; Chordata; Mammalia; Artiodactyla; Bovidae
Gene: TTI2
Gene name: TELO2 interacting protein 2
Exons: 8
Source: RefSeq, a predicted model, not a curated record
CCCCCGGGUGUCCGCCGCGCGUUUCUCCGCGCGCGCUCCCGCCCACGCCUGGGCACAAACGGAGUGUGCUUCCCCGGAUUCCUACUGCACGAUGUAAGUCACGGGAAAUCACCCGGCAAAUUCCCAGACCAGCCCCUGAGAAACGCGGGAAUCGACUUUCACGCCGGGAACCCACUGCAUCAGUGGCCGGCGCUUUUCCGGCAACUUCGGCUGGCGGCCCCGCCCCGACAGUCGCGGGGACACAGGCGGGCAAGCGCCUGACGCCCUACUCUCGCAACUCUUCAACGUUCCCUGCGGUAGGCGGGAACAGAAAGAAAAGAUCUAGGGGGGGGUUAAUUCCCCAUGCAAAAUCCUCCUCACGGCUCCACCCUUUUUGACCCUGGGACGCCAUUGCUUUACGAUCGUCGGUCGUGAAAUGACGGAGCGUUGCUGCGGUAAUGGCGGAAGCUAGACUUCUGCUUUGCGGCAAUGAUGUUGGCUGAGUCGGAUCCUGACACGCCCAGGCGCGCCGGAAGGGCUUCAGGUAACGGUGGCCGUGUGAAUAUCGUGCGUAUAGGGUUUAUUUCUUAAACUUUUUUUUUUUUUAAGUCUUCAGAAAGGCAAGAGUAACUUCCCUUUUCCAUUUUGGGAAUCAGACUCUGUUACUUCCAGAGAGACCUCUUCCCCUCAUCUUUUCCUUUAUGUCUUUACUCUUCUGCACGUUAGACCGUCUCUCCCCGCGGUCCUCCUAGACGUCUCACCGUUUUGAUUUUUUUUUUUUUUCUGUGCUUUUCGAGAAUCCUAGCCCCCGAGGUGAUCUUUCCUCCCGCUCUGUAGCGGAUCCCCGGCCGCCUCCGUCCGCGUUCUCUGUCUGAGGGAUGGAGCCUCACGGCCCUCGGGAAUCCCCACCUUGGGAGGGUUCUUCCUUGCCCGGAGUAUGGCCUUCCUCCGCCCUCGGGCAGGCCUUCUCCCAGAUCUUGCACCAGUUUGCCGGCCAGGAAUCCCGACGGGGCAAGGCCAGAAGUGCAGCUCUUGAGGACCUCGCUGCUCUGCUCGAAGCUAAAGAAUGUGAUCGGUUAUUUGAGGGGAGUGACGCCUCGCUCCGUGGAAUGCCCGAAAUGCUGGGGCAGGUGGCAAAAGCCCUAGGGAAGUAUGCAGCCCCUGCAGAGGAGCCGGAAGGGAGAGGUGACCGCCACUCCGAAGUGGCGGAGAAAGCGGCGGCAGUUGCGUUACUGUUUCUUCAGCUCUUGAGGAAGGUCGAGGCCGCCAAGAAUUCCUUGGUUUGCCCUGCGUGGAAGACAAGCCUCCGUCCCUUGGCAGGACCCAUCUAUGUUUUUGCGGUCACACACAGCUUGGAGCAACCGUGGACCAGCCCAAGAUCUCAAGAGGUCGCUGGACAGGUGCUCGCCUUAUUGCUUCAGGUCACUGAAUGUAGUUCUGUGGCUGGAUUCCUCCACGGAGAAAAUGAAGACGAGAAAGGGAGAUUUACUGUGAUCAUGGGGCUUCUCAAACCCGAUUUGAAUAAGGACUCCUGGAAGAAUAACCCAGCCACCAAAUACGUUUUCUCAUGGACUCUGCAAAAGGUCACUCGACCCUGGCUGAGCCAACAUCUGGAAAGAAUACUUCCUCCAUCAUUGCUCAUCUCAGAUGACUAUCAGACUGAAAACAAAAUCCUGGGUGUCCAUUGCCUCCAUCACAUUGUGCUUAACGUGCCAGCUGCUGAUUUGCUGCAGUACAACAGGGCUCAGGUCCUCUACCACGCCCUUUUCAACCACCUGUACGCACGGGAACACCACCUCAUUCAGGCUGUGCUCCUGUGUCUGCUGGAUUUAUUCCCCAUCCUGGAGAAAGCCCUGCACUGGAAGGGAGAUGGGGCCCGACCCACCACACAGUGUGAUGAGGUCCUGCAGUUGAUCCUGACGCACAUGGAGCCCGAGCACCGCCUUCUCUUACGUAGGACUUACGCGAGAAACCUACCAGCUUUUGUGAAAAGGUUGGGGAUCUUAACUGCCCGGCACUUGAAAAGGCUGGAGCGAGUCAUCAUUGGUUACUUGGAGGUAUAUGAUGGACCCGAGGAGGAGGCCAGAUUGAAGAUACUGGAAACCCUAAAACUUGUCCUGCAGUAUACUUGGCCCAGAGUCUCCUGUAGACUUGUGGUCUUACUGAAGGCUCUCUUGAAACUGAUAUGUGACGUAGCAAGGGAUUCAAGCCUCACACCCGAGAGUGUUAAGAGUGCCUUGUUAGAAGAGGCCACCAACUGCCUGAUUCUCCUGGACCGCUGUGCUUCGGGACGGGUGAAGGUAAGGGACCGUCCACUGCUCGGUUUCGGUGAGGCCUUGACAUCCUCAGGCAAUUUCUGUGAUCGUUUCGUGCCUGACCAAGUCUGUAAUUGGACAUGGAAGGUUCUAGUCUCUACCUCUGAGUCUUUUAGCCUUCAGCAGAGUUUGAUCAAUACCUUAUUCUCCCUUUAAAGCUAUUCAGGACUUUUUAGAUGAAAAGGCAAGAGGAUCAGUGGAUGCUUCUGGAGCUAGGAGAGAGAAUGGGCAAAAGGAUCAUGAUCAAGAGUUUGCAAAAUGGUAAUUCUGUUCUAGUGGUCCGAAUGAAAAGAAAAAGUAAAAAUAAUGGUCUGUAAUCCACUAAGGAAUAAUUUAGGUAGAGUAAGUAAUUCAGGUAACAGAAAUGUUUCCAGUUUUUCAGAGGCAACGAUGUUUUCCACAUACUUUAUUUAUCCAUGUGGGAAUUCUUCCUUUGGUCUCAUAUUCCACAGAAGUUUACUUUUCCAAGCCAUCGCAUAUAACAGCUGUGUGUCCAUGUAUACAUAAUUUAUAAAUCAUUGUCUCAAAAUCUUCAAUUUAAAGUUAUAGGCAGCAUGAAAAAAAAUUAACAUCCUAAAAAUAUUGAGGGACACUAUAUUCAUCUUGGCUUUUUACCUCAAGCAGUUUUCAAGCCCUAGAUCUAAUCUGCUUCAUGCUGGCUGGCAGAAAGCUGCUGCUUCGUGAGCCAGUAGGACAUUUCCAGUUCCCAGCGUCACACCAGUUCUGUGAACUGCCCUAGUGUCAUCAGUUCUUUCCUUCUUUGAGUCUGAUACCAAGAACGAACCACUAAGGUGAAGUAACAAUCAGAAAAACAAGCCUGUUUGGUUUCACGUUUCAGGGUCUCCUGGCUAAAAUCCCCCACAGCUGUGAAGACAGUCAGGUGGGGAACUGCAUCCGAAGAGUGCAACAGCUUUCUGAAGGCGCUCCCUGCGACGCAACUUAAGACUUGUAUUACUUUCCUGAAGAGGAAAGGGUUGUCUUUCUCUUCCAGUUGUUUUCAAUGGAAUUAUUUCAGGCAAAAGCAUCUGAAGAGUCACUCUCUGCCUCCUGCUGUUCCAGGGCCUUGUCGAAGGCGUGGAUGGGGAAGUUGUAGAUGUCACCGUACUGAAGAAAAGAAACAUGGGUCAGCUUUCGCCAUGUUUGACCUUGUGCAUCAAGUCCACUCUCCAACCAGCAUAUUGUUUUUAUCAGUGAUUAAAUAAAAACAUUUAGUUUGAUAAGUAAUAGUACUAUAUUAUGUUCAAGCCUAGAGCCAGUGAUGUCUUUAAAAAACCCAUAUUUGACAUUUAAAUAAUCAGCAGUUAAUACCAAACUGGUAACUUCUAUCAAGGAUGGACGCCAGAUGAGUUAAAAUUUAAUAGUAUAUAAAACCCAUGGAUUGAAACAAAUGUAGUUUUACCAACAAAGAGGAAAUAAGGUUUAAAAAGCAUUAUUUUAUUCAUGUUGUCUCUUUAAGUGACAUUCAUUUUUCAAAAGAGAAUAAAAAUUCAUUUUAAAGAACCUUAAAAUUCAACCUAGGAUGAAUACGCAGGAGGAUCAAAGCUGUGUGGCUUUUGUAGAGACCUGGAAUUGCUGUGUUUGGAGGAGGGGUUGGGAAUAAUGGCCAAAAGGAAAGGUCUCCAAACUCGAGUAUCAAGGGUUAACUGCAGUAGUUUACAUGCUUGCAUUACAAGCCAGAGCUAAUAUGAUAUUUAUUUUAUUCCAGGAAUAAAAUCAAGGUAAGGCUCUUUCUAACAUCUUUAAAAAUAAACCCCAUUUCCAACUAGUCCCAUAUCUCCUAGCAUAUUUCCACCUAAAAAAUAAAAUCUGUACCCCAAA